This 497-nucleotide ribosomal RNA is filed under the name uncultured bacterium. RNAcentral describes it as "partial 16S ribosomal RNA". It matches the Rfam family "Bacterial small subunit ribosomal RNA", at positions 28 to 507 of the family's 1533-position model. The record is from RNAcentral.
GGUGAACGCUGGCGGCGUGCCUAAUACAUGCAAGUCGAGCGAACAGACGAUGAGCGUUCGCCUCUGACGGUAGCGGCGGGCGGGCGAGUAACGCGUGGAUCACCUACCUAUAUUACGGGGGGAACUUCGUGGAACCGGAUCUAAUACUGGAUCAUAUAUUCAACCGCAGGGAGCAAUAGUGAAAGACGGUUUUGCUGUCACUUAUAGAUGGAUCCGCGUCGCAUUAGCUAGUUGGUAAGGUAAAGGCUUACCAAGGCAACGAUGCGUAGCCGACCUGAGAGGGUGAUCAGCCACACUGGAACUGAGACACGGUCCAGACUCCUACGGGAGGCAGCAGUAGGGAAUAUUCCGCAAUGGGCGCAAGCUUGAUGCAGCCACGCCGCGUGGGUGAUGAAGGUCUUCGGAUCGUAAAACUCUGUUAUUAGGGAAGAAAAAAUGUGGAAGUAACUCUGCAAGUCUUGACGGUACCUAAUCAGAAAGCAACGGCUAACUACGUG